RNAcentral lists this ribosomal RNA (797 nucleotides) under uncultured bacterium. RNAcentral's name for it is "bacterial SSU rRNA". It matches the Rfam family "Bacterial small subunit ribosomal RNA", at positions 8 to 796 of the family's 1533-position model. The record is from RNAcentral.
AGAGUUUGAUCCUGGCUCAGAAUGAACGCUGGCGGCGUGCCUAACACAUGCAAGUCGGAUGUGCCCGCAAGGGUGCAUGGCAGACGGGUGAGUAACGCGUGGGGAAUCUACCUCUUUGUGGGGAAUAACGCUCCGAAAGGAGUGGUAAUACCGCAUGAGAUCCAUGGCUGGGAUGCUGUGGAUGAAACCUGGGGACCUUCGGGCCUGGGGCAAGGAGAGGAUCCUGCGUCUGAUUAGCUAGUUGGUGAGGUAACGGCCCACCAAGGCAACGAUCAGUAGCCGGCCUGAAAGGGUGAACGGCCACACUGGAACUGAGACACGGUCCAGACUCCUACGGGAGGCAGCAGUGGGGAAUUUUGGACAAUGGGGGCAACCCUGAUCCAGCAACGCCGCGUGAGCGAUGAAGGUCUUCGGAUUGUAAAGCUCUGUCAAGUGGAACGAUGGGUUUUAAGGCUAAUAUCCUUAAGAUUUGACGGUACCACUGGAGGAAGUCACGGCUAACUACGUGCCAGCAGCCGCGGUAAUACGUAGGUGGCAAGCAUUGUUCGGAUUUACUAGGCGUAAAGGGCGUGCAGGUGGCCUUGUAAGUUGGAAGUGAAAAUUCACAGCUUAACUGUGGAACUGCUUCCAAAACUGCUUGGCUUGAGUAUAGGAGAGGGAAAUGGAAUUCCUGGUGUAGCGGUGAAAUGCGUAGAUAUCAGGAAGAACACCUGUGGCGAAGGCGAUUUCCUGGCCUAAAACUGACACUGAGACGCGAAAGCUAGGGGAGCAAACAGGAUUAGAUACCCUGGUAGUCC